This 92-nucleotide ribosomal RNA is filed under the name uncultured bacterium. RNAcentral's name for it is "partial 16S ribosomal RNA". It matches the Rfam family "Bacterial small subunit ribosomal RNA", at positions 524 to 615 of the family's 1533-position model. The record is from RNAcentral.
CACGUAGGGGGCAAGCGUUGUCCGGAAUUACUGGGCGUAAAGCGCGCGUAGGCGGCCUAAUAAGUCAGUGGUGAAAACCGGAGGCUCAACCG